UUUUGCUUACCCCUAUAAUUUGAAAACACAAACACACCCAGCUAAGUCAAGCAUACAUGUAUAUGGGGUGAUCAGACGAGUUAGCUUUUAGUCCAACAAGUGUUAUCCAACAGCUAUCUAGCAUCUAUGGCCACCUAAGCCGAACCUGCCGCUGGGCCAUCACUGCUCACUUGCGGAGCGGCCGCAUUAAAACAGUGAGCCUGCUGGCUAGCCUGGGUCUGACGACGUUCCUCCGCAUAACUGUACAGGAGGACAUCAGUGAGAUCAUUCAUCAGGCCUCCGCUGAAGAUAAGCCAGGUGACUCCAAUCAAGGUGUAGAAACAUCAGAGAUAAUUAAGAGAAAUGGGAGGCCCCCAGAGAUACAACCAGCUCUGCAAACAGCCCAGUCUGAGACAAGUUUUUUUUUAAUUAAGAAUAUCUCUGUACUUUUCUUCAUUUAGCUUUCUCUGACACCGGACCAGGCUCUUCAUCCCAGCGAUUGAAAAACAACCCUGCAGCAUAAUAUUGCAACAU
Long non-coding RNA from Hyla sarda, 513 nucleotides. RefSeq lists it as uncharacterized. NCBI's taxonomy places the organism in Eukaryota, Metazoa, Chordata, Amphibia, Anura, Hylidae. The transcript has 3 exons. The record is from RefSeq and is a predicted model, not a curated record.